Molecule: unclassified non-coding RNA, 253 nt
Filed under: plant metagenome
Description: partial contains small subunit ribosomal RNA, internal transcribed spacer 1, and 5.8S ribosomal RNA
Rfam family: 5.8S ribosomal RNA (bases 205-253)
Source: RNAcentral
UUUCCGUCGGUGAACCUGCGGAAGGAUCAUUAUUGGAUUUUGAAACUUCAGGCUGCUGCUGGCUCUCCUCGGAGGGCAUGUGCACGCUUGUUGUCCAUUAUUUCUCCCACUGUGCACAAAUUGUAGACCUUUCAGUAGGCCUAUGUUGUUUUUCACAAUCUCUGAAUGUAAUAGAAUGGUUUUGAAUCUUGGGAAAUACAAUACAACUUUCAGCAACGGAUCUCUUGGCUCUCGCAUCGAUAAAGAACGCAGC